This 444-nucleotide ribosomal RNA is filed under the name Gliocladiopsis tenuis. RNAcentral describes it as "partial large subunit ribosomal RNA". It matches the Rfam family "Eukaryotic large subunit ribosomal RNA", at positions 441 to 912 of the family's 3401-position model. The record is from RNAcentral. Lineage: Eukaryota; Fungi; Ascomycota; Sordariomycetes; Hypocreales; Nectriaceae.
GCUUGGUUGAUCAUCCUGGGUUCUCCCUGGUGCACUCUUCCAGUCCAGGCCAGCAUCAGUUUGCUUCGGGGGAUAAAGGCUUCGGGAAUGUGGCUCCUUCGGGAGUGUUAUAGCCCGUUGUGUAAUACCCUGAGACAGACUGAGGUUCGCGCUCUGCAAGGAUGCUGGCGUAAUGGUCAUCAGCGACCCGUCUUGAAACACGGACCAAGGAGUCGUCUUCGUAUGCGAGUGUUCGGGUGUUAAACCCCUACGCGUAAUGAAAGUGAACGCAGGUGAGAGCUUCGGCGCAUCAUCGACCGAUCCUGAUGUUCUCGGAUGGAUUUGAGUAAGAGCAUACGGGGCCGGACCCGAAAGAAGGUGAACUAUGCCUGUAUAGGGUGAAGCCAGAGGAAACUCUGGUGGAGGCUCGCAGCGGUUCUGACGUGCAAAUCGAUCGUCAAAUAU